UACAGAGGUCUCAAGCGUUGUCCGGAUUCAUUGGGCGUAAAGAGCGUGUAGGCGGCCAGGUAUGUCUGCUGUGAAAACUCGAGGCUCAACCUCGAGACGUCGGCGGAAACCAUCUGGCUAGAGUCCGGAAGAGGAGAGUGGAAUUCCUGGUGUAACGGUGAAAUGCGCAGAUAUCAGGAAGAACACCCGUGGCGAAGGCGGCUCUCUGGGACGGUACUGACGCUGAGACGCGAAAGCGUGGAGAGCGAACAGG
This 253-nucleotide ribosomal RNA is filed under the name uncultured bacterium. Its description in RNAcentral is "partial 16S ribosomal RNA". It matches the Rfam family "Bacterial small subunit ribosomal RNA", at positions 524 to 776 of the family's 1533-position model. The record is from RNAcentral.